CUGAGGGCUGCUCUAUCUGUUCCACGUGAUAGUACUCGAAGGUGGGGCCUUUGGGAGAGGAUGCCGUCAUAAACGAUUAGCUCCUCCAUGAAGGGAUUAAUGAAUGCCCUUAUGACAGAGAGCCCAUGAAGAGCCUCCAUCAUGUGAGUUCACGUGGAGGAGAUGGAACUUAUGAACAUGGAAGUGAGGUUUCAUCAAACUCUGAAUCUGAAUUUCAUCAAAAGCUGAAAUCUGGGAGAAAUCUCUCCCAAACAGUGAGGAAUGAAUGUCUGUUGUGAUUAGCCAUCCAGUCUGUGGUAUUUUUGUUGUAGCAGCCUGAAUGGGCUAAGACAGGGACCACAGUUCAAGGCAGAGGAGAACACUGGUGUGAAGGCACUGUGCUCCAGAAGGGAACGUGCUCCAGGAAGGAGGGAAAGCGGAUGUUGAUGCUGAGCAAAACAUAUAGCACACAGAACACAGCAAGCUCAAAGGCUGGAAGGCAGAGGCUGCAAGAACAUAAUCCACAUGAACGAAAUAUUGGGCAAGAUCAUUGGAUUAAUUCAAGUCAUACAAGGACUGAUUUUAUCUUGUUCUUCAGAUCCAGGGUGACCUCACUUCAUCAUUGGCAGAGAUUUUCAAAACUGUUCGAAAAUGCAGAAAAUCAGAGCAAGAGCACAUUAAUCAUAGAAAUUCGAAGGGGAAGAGAUCUGUUCAGUUGGUCCACUCCCGGAUUGCCAAGAUGGUGCCUCAUCCACACGAUUCAGUCCAACUUAAAGGGACCAAAGUGAUAAGCCUCCCUCCCCACUUCCCUGAAGGGAAUCCUGAACUACUUUCUUUGCUGGGUUUUGGAAGAUAAUGGGGGUUUUAGGCAAGACUUGAACAUAAUCACGCUCUAAAAUGGCUAGUCUUCAAAUCGUCUUUGAUCCAAAGAUCAUUUAGAUGCUAUUUUUUUUGCAAUGCUCCUUCUACUGCCCUGUCACCAGACCAAAGUACAAGUGUCUGCUUGUGUCAAGCACUGCCCACACUUGGAGAUACGGCCUUUAAAGGGGUGUUGAGUUAAAAAUGAGCCGCUAGUGCAUUCUAAUGAACCCCACUAGCGUUCUAAUCCAGUCUGACUGGUGUCCUUCAUUGAAGAGGAAACGAGGCCACACAAAGACAUACCAGGCACGCACACACACAGAGAAGAAAGGCCAUGUGAAGACACAAUGAAAAUAUGACCAUUUUUAAGUCAAGAAGAGAGGCCUCAGAAGAACCUGAACCUGACAACACCUUGACUUGGACUCCUAGCCUCCGGAGCUGUGAGAAGACAAAUUUCUAUGGUCUGUGUUAUGACAGAGCUAGCAAACUAAUAUAGUCAUCAUGCGGAUUCCUACGUGUGUAUAAUCAGAAGAGAGUCAUAGAAACCAGUUAAUGGAAAGAAGCCUUAGAUUUGGAAUGUCCCCUUAGCUCUUGUAAGAAGAAAUAAAAUCAGGCUGCCUAAGGAUGCCACUGAACGCUGUGUGCAGAUCUUUCCUAAUAUGUAGGGUGUGCCUCCAAAGCUUGCUUCAUGUGUGUAUAGAAACAACGCCCAGACUCACUAAGUCAGCGACGACUAAUCACUAUGACAAAUUUAUGUGGAAUAAAUCGACAAAGUCAGAAGAUCGUUAAAUAUACCUCUAACAUGUUUGGCUUUGUCUGUAAAAAGUUGAAAGACAAGGUAGCAUGGGCAAUGUUCUCUUUAAAGAUUCCAAUUGAGUAUAAUUAUCCUGC
Molecule: long non-coding RNA, 1728 nt
Filed under: Capra hircus (goat)
Lineage: Eukaryota; Metazoa; Chordata; Mammalia; Artiodactyla; Bovidae
Description: lncRNA (ENSCHIG00000007564.1)
Source: RNAcentral